AUUGAACGCUGGCGGCAGGCCUAACACAUGCAAGUCGAACGGUAACAGGAAGCAGCUUGCUGCUUCGCUGACGAGUGGCGGACGGGUGAGUAAUGUCUGGGAAACUUCCUGAUGGAGGGGGAUAACUACUGGAAACGGUAGCUAAUACCGCAUAACGUCGCAAGACCAAAGAGGGGGACCUUAGGGCCUCUUGCCAUCGGAUGUGCCCAGAUGGGAUUAGCUAGUAGGUGGGGUAACGGCUCACCUAGGCGACGAUCCCUAGCUGGUCUGAGAGGAUGACCAGCCACACUGGAACUGAGACACGGUCCAGACUCCUACGGGAGGCAGCAGUGGGGAAUAUUGCACAAUGGGCGCAAGCCUGAUGCAGCCAUGCCGCGUGUAUGAAGAAGGCCUUCGGGUUGUAAAGUACUUUCAGCGGGGAGGAAGGGAGUAAAGUUAAUACCUUUGCUCAUUGACGUUACCCGCAGAAGAAGCACCGGCUAACUCCGU
Molecule: ribosomal RNA, 489 nt
Filed under: uncultured bacterium
Lineage: Bacteria
Description: partial 16S ribosomal RNA
Rfam family: Bacterial small subunit ribosomal RNA
Source: RNAcentral